Molecule: unclassified non-coding RNA, 233 nt
Filed under: uncultured fungus
Lineage: Eukaryota; Fungi
Description: sequence contains ITS1
Source: RNAcentral
GUAUUGUAUUGCGUUAAACGCGGUGUGCAUUCCAUGAGACUUUACUACAGCGUGUGUGUAAAUACAUAGAACCACGGCAGGGGGGACAGAGCCCCCCAGGCUGCAGAACUAUGGAGAGUGCACAGGUGUGAGUGGAUGUGCAAACAGAGCGUGCACAUGUCCCCAUUCGAGGACCAGCAACAACUCGUGUUGACAAUUCGGUAAUGAUCCUUCCGCAGGUUCACCUACGGAAA